Molecule: ribosomal RNA, 407 nt
Filed under: Verrucomicrobiota bacterium
Lineage: Bacteria; Pseudomonadati; Verrucomicrobiota
Description: Verrucomicrobia bacterium partial 16S ribosomal RNA
Rfam family: Bacterial small subunit ribosomal RNA
Source: RNAcentral
UUGGGAAUAUUGGACAAUGGAGGAAACUCUGAUCCAGCAAUUCUGUGUGUGUGAAGAAGGUUUUAGGACUGUAAAACACUUUUAGUAGGGAAGAAAAAAAUGACGGUACCUACAGAAGAAGCAACGGCUAAAUACGUGCCAGCAGCCGCGGUAAUACGUAUGUUGCGAGCGUUAUCCGGAAUUAUUGGGCUUAAAGGGCAUCUAGGCGGUAAGACAAGUUGAAGGUGAAAACCUGUGGCUCAACCAUAGGCUUGCCUACAAAACUGUUGAACUAGAGUACUGGAAAGGUGGGUGGAACUACACGAGUAGAGGUGAAAUUCGUAGAUAUGUGUAGGAAUGCCGAUGAUGAAGAUAACUCACUGGACAGAAACUGACGCUGAAGUGCGAAAGCUAGGGGAGCAAACAGG